AUCGGUUCCAAGCCACCUCCCCAGCCCGAGCAGGACCUGCGCCGUCUGGUCUUCGAUCAUCACACGGCCACCAACAGCUUCUACUGGCGCCUGACGGUCAGGAAAUAGCAAAAACUGACCAGUCUAGCCAUCCCCUCCACGCUAAGAACUCUGGUGAGAUCCAUAUUCUCUCCUCUUUUUAGGUUUUUUUUUUUCAAUGGGUUCUUCCACAGUUCCACACCUGAUUCUAUCUUCAUCGAUCAAUUGUAGCCAAAGCGCCGCCCGACUCACUGGAUCAACAACAAUUCACUAGUGGGUGUCGGAUCAACAACGAUUCGUGGUGGGUGUCGACAUGCCAGAGAAGUCCUUGUAGAGCCUGCGACUGCAUCUGCUUUACAUAGUUCCACCUUGAUCUGUUGUACAAAAGAACGCUGGUGCAGGUGCCGCAAGAUCUGAGCAAGUAGACUCACCCAACGGUACCAGUCCUUAGGUCCAUCGGCAACCCCAGGUUCAUCCUCUCCUGCCCAUCUUCAUAACUGAACUAGAACACAUAAAGAAAUCUCAUUGUGAAGUCUUCCUCGACAAUGUCAAACAUGAUUUCAAAUUUUGGUUCCACGUUUACUGCACUUCUUGAUCCAGUUAUGUUUCAAUCAGGUGGAAUUCAUUCAUGCCACUUAUUUAUAUCACUGAAAUCUUACCUUUUUAUCAUUAUAAUGAAUGAAUGAUUGAAGAUAAUGUGGAAGAUUUUAUAUGGGUAUUGCUUGAUGCAAACCUUGCCUCCACAAAACUAAGAGAUGACAUCUAAGUAUGGACCAUAAUGAUAGAUAGAUGAAAACACAAAUGCACUAAAACCACCCAUGCAAACACGCAAUAUAGACAUGGAAAGAAAAUUCAACCGAAUUUGGCCAACGAAGCAUUCGUACCUGUGUCGUGCUAUAACAUCUUAUACAGAUUUUAAAUAAAGAAGAUAUGGUCUGAAUCCUUUCUAAUCUAGAAAAUGGCUACACAUAGUUGUGAUUCUAGACAAGCAUCUUAGGCAUCUUAUACAGUAUUUAAAUAAAGAAGACAUGGUUUGAACCCUUUCUAAUCUGGAAAAUGGCUACACAUAUUGUGAUAAUAAGAAGACAUGCAUCUUAUACAAUUCAAAUAAAGAAGACAUGGUUGGAACCCUUUCUAAUCUGGAAAAUGGCUACACAUAGUUGUGAUAAUAAGAACAGACCUUAAAGCAACCACGCACACAACAAUAAAAUCAGGCAAGAGCUAAGAACCACCGGACCAUGAGCCUCCACAUCAUGCAGAUCAUAACCCAUCUGCUUAAUGUGUAUAAGGAUUUGGACAAGACUUUAAAUUGUGUAAUUUGACCAUCGAUUUCUCUUAAAAUAUAUUACGAAUUGCUACAAAUCAAUGUCGUAUUAAAAGAUUUCUGAACUGAAUCUAUUGAUAUAACUUUUAUUCACUAAGCAUAAACAUAAUCUGAGUAGCUAUUAGUCAACAUUUAUGAAUUUGACCUUUUUCAAAUCCUAAUACAUUAUGUUCCUGUAAAAAUAAACAGAGCAAUGUUUAAGUUAAGCAUGUCCACUCGUCUAGACGACGUAUUCUAAUUUCUUAACAAUAGGUAAAUCCCAAUGCAACAGAUAAUAUGAUUAUCAGGAGAGGGAAGAGAAUUUAAACCACAAUAAGAACCUGUAGGCACAAAUCUGAUACCCAAAGUGAGAUGUUAUCUCUUAUUUUGCUAUUUGGAUCACUAUUUUUGGAGCAAACAUUACUUCAGAAAUUAAGACCAUACAUAAUUAAGAGCUUGCGAAAUUACAAGGACUACAUGCAGUAUGUUAGUGUUGGGGCAUAUUUUAGCUUGUACUUUGCAUUGCUUUUGGGUUAAAAAUAACUGGAGCAAUCUUUGGAAAGACAAAAAAUUACUCAAUAUGUCCCAGACAGUGGGAGACAGUGGGACACAUAUUGGUGUAUAAAAAAGAAUCAAGGUUGUAAACUGCUAGAAUACUAUUAGCGUCUUCACCCGGAUGUGGCAGUAUGAUAGUUGGUGUCAAUCUGUUAGAACUUGACUUUGAAUUUCAAAUUUGUUGCUUUGCCUAGCGUUGAGUCAGGUGGUAGCCGUUACAGAUAUAGGCCUUUAUCUCUAUUUUGUUUCUAACUACUUGCUUGAACAUAUGUAUUUCCUAUUGUGUGAGAUUAUCACCUGAAAAUUCCUCAUUUGCAAUCUGUUAGUGGCUGCUAGUACCAAGCAAAUUAACGAGGAAGCUAAUAGCUGAUUAGUAGAGUACACGCAAUAGCUGCUAGCGGAGCAGUAACAGAAGCGUGGGGUAGUGGUACUCAUACCGUACCUCCCUUAGGAAUCGGUCCUCGAGGUCGGCGGUAACGCGGGCGGCGAUGACGAGCGUGCCGAUGAAGAGGGGGAGUGGGAGCAUGAAGGCGAGGAUUAGCUGGUUGGUGCUAGGCGGCCCGCCAGCCUACACCACCAUGAGGUGGCCGCGGCCCCGCCGCCGCGCACCUCCUGGCACCGGCCUUAUGAAGCUGCUGGCACGGACAGGGCGCCCAGAGCACGGCAAGGUCGCGGUGCAGAGAAAGAGCCGCAACAUGGCCGCCCACCGCCAUGGGCGAGAGGGAUGGGAAGGAGACUCAGAGGAGGCUGGGAUUUGGGGGCGAGUGCCCGCGCGCCCGCUCAUCUCCGCACCGCAGCACACUCCACUGCAUCCACCGCUGAGCAUUGAGGGAUGGAGAAGGUUGAGCAAGAGGAGAGCAGGUGGACGUGUGAGUGUGGAUAAGGUUAUGGGUACUUUGGUCUUUUUUCAUUUUAUCCUAAAUAUUGUUAUUUUUUAAAUGUUAAUCAAAAUCUAAUUAACAAUAUGUAAAGUAGGGACAAAUGGUGUCUUCAAUUUCAAAAGACAAAAAAAAAAGUAAAAUAGCAAAGUUAAAAAGUACGGAAAAUUUAUAAUUAUUUUUUUAUUUUCUCAUCUAUUUAUGCUGGAAUAUGCUUCUUAUGAAAGAAAAAAAUCACUCAUGCUGAAAAAGGACGAAGAGCAUCGAUGGAUCUGCAUGUGCACAAGCAAAUAGAGCUCGUUGAGGCGAGCUCGAGCUGUGGCACGGACGGAUGCGUUAUUGAGUUGCGGCAAGGGGACAUGGCUGAGGUCUGAGGAGGGGGAGCAGCCCGGGGCAACCUCGAGUGGCGUCAUGGCGAGCUCAAGCGAUGGUGGAGGGAGCACAGCCAGUUGGAGAAUAAGGAGUUGCGGGCAAAGGAGGUGGAGAAGAUGAGGCUGGCGAUGUUGGGAGGGCUGUCAUCUCCUCUUUAGGUCUUGUUUAGUUCCAAAAUUUUUUGCAAAAUGAGCACUGUAGCACUUUCGUUUGUAUUUGAUAAAUAUUGUCCAAUCAUAGACUAACUAGGCUCAAAAGAUUCGUCUCGUUAAUUUCGACCAAACUGUGCAAUUAGUUUUUAUUUUCGCCUAUAUUUAACACUCCAUGCAUACAUCUAAAGAUUCGAUGUGACGGGGAAUCUGAAAAAUUUUGCAAAAUUUUUUGGAAACUAAACAAGGCCUUAG
This 3530-nucleotide long non-coding RNA is filed under the name Sorghum bicolor (sorghum). RNAcentral describes it as "long non-coding RNA (SBIC_LNC007835)". The record is from RNAcentral. Lineage: Eukaryota; Viridiplantae; Streptophyta; Magnoliopsida; Poales; Poaceae.